GGGACUCGGGGAAGUGACGCAUCAGGGGUGGGAACUGCAGUCUUGCUAGUAUGUCUGCGCUCACCCGUCUGGUACCUUUCGGCCGCGUCGGAGGCCGCCUGCUCCGGGGCUGCCGCGCGCGGGCGGCUGGAGACAGUGGAGUCCGUCAGUGAGUGUCGGGCGGGGGCGAGGGUUCGGCCGGCUUGAACAGGCAGCGCUGCCAUCCGGACGCUGUCACCUUGAAGCAGUCGCCCGGGAGGCGCUGGCGGUGGUGUACAUAUUCAGCCCCGGUACAGGGAGUUUCCCCAGCUUACCCGGUCCCAGGUGAUCCAGGGUGAGUUCUUAAGCUCACUCAUGUGGUUCUGGAUUCUUUGGCGAUUUUGGCAUGACUCGGAUGCUGUGCUGGGUCACUUUUCAUAUCCAGAUCCUUCACAGUGGACAGAUGAAGAACUGGGAAUCCCUCCUGAUGACGAGGACUGACACUGUAAACUCUCUGGACGAGUAGGAGCAAGGUGAGACAUUUCAAGAAAUUACAGACUUCAUUAAAGGUGUAAAUUAAAGUGGCUUGCCAAAAACGAGGAACUGAGUUAUGUUUCUGAUGACAACUGUCCUUUAUUUCCUAUCCUCUAACUGCUUGCUGGUCCAGUGGUUUGUGCCCUUUCAGCUGACCCUCUCGGGUCCCCUAUGAUGUAGGUAGAUGUUCUUUGAGGCUAUCAAGGACCACGGAGAUUGUUUCUUGCUUAGCAUCACUCACUUGUUAGGUUACCUAUGACUCCAAAGCUUACGUAUAACUUAAGUACCAUGCCUCUGCCUCGUGUGCUGACAGGUGAUGUGACCAUAUAGAUGCUCCAGAGAUUGUUGCCCCAGAGGUUAGGGGUCAGAAGAGUCCAUUGCUUUCCAAGUGGCCUCUUGUAGGACUCAUAAGUCACGUGUGACUUAGAACUUCUUAGGGAUGGA
Molecule: RNA transcript, 936 nt
Organism: Mus musculus (house mouse)
Lineage: Eukaryota; Metazoa; Chordata; Mammalia; Rodentia; Muridae
Gene: Ndufb2
Gene name: NADH:ubiquinone oxidoreductase subunit B2
Exons: 4
Source: RefSeq, marked validated